AGAGUUUGAUCAUGGCUCAGAUUGAACGCUGGCGGCAGGCCUAACACAUGCAAGUCGAACGGUAACAGGAAGAAGCUUGCUUCUUUGCUGACGAGUGGCGGACGGGUGAGUAAUGUCUGGGAAACUGCCUGAUGGAGGGGGAUAACUACUGGAAACGGUAGCUAAUACCGCAUAACGUCGCAAGACCAAAGAGGGGGACCUUCGGGCCUCUUGCCAUCGGAUGUGCCCAGAUGGGAUUAGCUAGUAGGUGGGGUAACGGCUCACCUAGGCGACGAUCCCUAGCUGGUCUGAGAGGAUGACCAGCCACACUGGAGCUGAGACACGGUCCAGACUCCUACGGGAGGCAGCAGUGGGGAAUAUUGCACAAUGGGCGCAAGCCUGAUGCAGCCAUGCCGCGUGUAUGGAGAAGGCCUUCGGGUUGUAAAGUACUUUCAGCGGGGAGGAAGGGAGUAAAGUUAAUACCUUUGCUCAUUGACGUUACCCGCAGAAGAAGCACCGGCUAACUCCGUGCCAGCAGCCGCGGUAAUACGGAGGGUGCAAGCGUUAAUCGGAAUUACUGGGCGUAAAGCGCACGCAGGCGGUUUGUUAAGUCAGAUGUGAAAUCCCCGGGCUCAACCUGGGAACUGCAUCUGAUACUGGCAAGCUUGAGUCUCGUAGAGGGGGGUAGAAUUCCAGGUGUAGCGGUGAAAUGCGUAGAGAUCUGGAGGAAUACCGGUGGCGAAGGCGGCCCCCUGGACGAAGACUGACGCUCAGGUGCGAAAGCGUGGGGAGCAAACAGGAUUAGAUACCCUGGUAGUCCACGCCGUAAACGAUGUCGACUUGGAGGUUGUGCCCUUGAGGCGUGGCUUCCGGAGCUAACGCGUUAAGUCGACCGCCUAGGGAGUACGGCCGCAAGGUUAAAACUCAAAUGAAUUGACGGGGGCCCGCACAAGCGGUGGAGCAUGUGGUUUAAUUCGAUGCAACGCGAAGAACCUUACCUGGUCUUGACAUCCACGGAAGUUUUCAGAGAUGAGAAUGUGCCUUCGGGAACCGUGAGACAGGUGCUGCAUGGCUGUCGUCAGCUCGUGUUGUGAAAUGUUGGGUUAAGUCCCGCAACGAGCGCAACCCUUAUCCUUUGUUGCCAGCGGUCCGGCCGGGAACUCAAAGGAGACUGCCAGUGAUAAACUGGAGGAAGGUGGGGAUGACGUCAAGUCAUCAUGCCCCUUACGACCAGGGCUACACACGUGCUACAAUGGCGCAUACAAAGAGAAGCGACCUCGCGAGAGCAAGCGGACCUCAUAAAGUGCGUCGUAGUCCGGAUUGGAGUCUGCAACUCGACUCCAUGAAGUCGGAAUCGCUAGUAAUCGUGGAUCAGAAUGCCACGGUGAAUACGUUCCCGGGCCUUGUACACACCGCCCGUCACACCAUGGGAGUGGGUUGCAAAAGAAGUAGGUAGCUUAACCUUCGGGAGGGCGCUUACCACUUUGUGAUUCAUGACUGGGGUGAAGUCGGAACAAGGUA
This 1500-nucleotide ribosomal RNA is filed under the name metagenome. RNAcentral's name for it is "bacterial SSU rRNA". It matches the Rfam family "Bacterial small subunit ribosomal RNA". The record is from RNAcentral.